This 468-nucleotide ribosomal RNA is filed under the name uncultured bacterium. RNAcentral describes it as "partial 16S ribosomal RNA". It matches the Rfam family "Bacterial small subunit ribosomal RNA", at positions 28 to 507 of the family's 1533-position model. The record is from RNAcentral.
GACGAACGCUGGCGGCGUGCUUAACACAUGCAAGUCGAACGGAAAGGCCCUGAGUUUGUGGGCUGCUCGGGUGGCGAACGGGUGAGUAACACGUGAGUAACCGGCCCUAGACUUUGGGAUAGCUUCAGGAAACGGGAGCUAAUACCGUAUAGCAGCCCCCGCUGCAUGGUGGGGGUUGGAAAGUUUCGGCGGUUGGGGAUGGAUGCGCGGCUGAUCAGCUUGUUGGUGGGGUAGUGGCAUACCAAGGCUGGGACGGGUAGCCGGCCUGGGAGGGUGAACGGGCACAAUGGGACUGCGAUACGGAGCAGACGCGAACGGGAGGCAGUAGGGGGGAAUAUUGCACAAUGGGCGGGAGCCUGAUGCAGAGGCGCCGGGUGCGGGAUGACGGCUUGCGGGGUGAGAAACGCUGUCGCCUGUGACGCAGCGUGUGUGACGGUAAUCGAUAAAGAAGCACCGGCUAACUACGUG